RNAcentral lists this ribosomal RNA (253 nucleotides) under uncultured bacterium. RNAcentral's name for it is "partial 16S ribosomal RNA". It matches the Rfam family "Bacterial small subunit ribosomal RNA", at positions 524 to 776 of the family's 1533-position model. The record is from RNAcentral.
UACAGAGGGGGCAAGCGUUGUUCGGAAUUACUGGGCGUAAAGGGCGCGUAGGCGGCCUUCUAAGUCGAACGUGAAAUCCCUGGGCUCAACCCAGGAACUGCGUCCGAUACUGGAAGGCUUGAAUCCGGGAGAGGGGUGUGGAAUUCCUGGUGUAGCGGUGAAAUGCGCAGAUAUCAGGAGGAACACCGACGGCGAAGGCAGCACUCUGGGCCGGUACUGACGCUGAGGAGCGAAAGCAUGGGGAGCGAACAGG